Molecule: non-coding RNA, 246 nt
Organism: Fukomys damarensis (Damara mole-rat)
Lineage: Eukaryota; Metazoa; Chordata; Mammalia; Rodentia; Bathyergidae
Source: Rfam
GGAUGGGGCUGGCUAGACAAGUGUCCCAUUCCUUACUCCCUGCUCCAUAUGUGUACCUCCUGAAGGUGAAUACUUGUUGAAGAGGGUAGGCACCCCCAAUAGAGUAAGAUCAUUUCCUCUCUCAAGGGUAUAUGAGUAGCUGUAUGUCCCUGUUAGAACCUCCAAAGAAGCUUUCAAGUGAGGUUGGUGGAGAGCCAUGGUUUGACUCACUGUCUGAGUAUCAUAGUAUGUGCUAGCUGAGAAAUA